AUUGAACGCUGGCGGCAUGCUUUAUACAUGCAAGUCGUGCGGCAGCGCGGGGGCAACCCAGGCGGCGAGCGGCGAACGGGUGAGUAAUACAUAGGAACGUAUCCUGAAAUGGGGGAUAGCUCGGCGAAAGCCGGAUUAAUACCGCAUACGCUCCACGGAGGAAAGCAGGGGAUCGCAAGACCUUGCGUUUCUGGAGCGGCCUAUGUCUGAUUAGCUAGUUGGCGGGGUAAUAGCCCACCAAGGCGACGAUCAGUAGCUGGUCUGAGAGGAUGAUCAGCCACACUGGGACUGAGACACGGCCCAGACUCCUACGGGAGGCAGCAGUAGGGAAUUUUGGACAAUGGGCGCAAGCCUGAUCCAGCCAUGCCGCGUGAGUGAAGAAGG
RNAcentral lists this ribosomal RNA (384 nucleotides) under uncultured bacterium. Its description in RNAcentral is "bacterial SSU rRNA". It matches the Rfam family "Bacterial small subunit ribosomal RNA", at positions 30 to 414 of the family's 1533-position model. The record is from RNAcentral.